AAAACCUCACAAUGGUUAAUGAUUUCCCAUAAAUGAUGCACAAUUCAGAAUUUAGUCCUACUUAACAUAUUAAGAAUGCACAGAAAAUCACUUAAAUCACACCACAAGUCUUUAGUGAAUAGAACUACGAAAAUACUCAUAACUGUAACCCAAAAGCCAAAGAAACAUCAUGCAUUAGUAAAAAAGCUUUAUAAGAAAACAAAACAACAAAACUAAAUGUAGAAACAAA
RNAcentral lists this long non-coding RNA (229 nucleotides) under Lathyrus oleraceus (garden pea). Its description in RNAcentral is "Pisum sativum (pea) long non-coding RNA (PSAT_LNC002156)". The record is from RNAcentral. Lineage: Eukaryota; Viridiplantae; Streptophyta; Magnoliopsida; Fabales; Fabaceae.